Molecule: ribosomal RNA, 460 nt
Filed under: uncultured bacterium
Lineage: Bacteria
Description: partial 16S ribosomal RNA
Rfam family: Bacterial small subunit ribosomal RNA
Source: RNAcentral
CCUACGGGGUGCUGCAGUGAGGAAUAUUGGUCAAUGGACGAGAGUCUGAACCAGCCAAGUAGCGUGAAGGAUGACUGCCCUAUGGGUUGUAAACUUCUUUUAUAUGGGAAUAAAAUGUUCCACGUGUGGGAUUUUGUAUGUACCAUAUGAAUAAGGAUCGGCUAACUCCGUGCCAGCAGCCGCGGUAAUACGGAGGAUCCGAGCGUUAUCCGGAUUUAUUGGGUUUAAAGGGAGCGUAGGUGGAUUGUUAAGUCAGUUGUGAAAGUUUGCGGCUCAACCGUAAAAUUGCAGUUGAAACUGGCAGUCUUGAGUACAGUAGAGGUGGGCGGAAGUCGUGGUGUAGCGGUGAAAUGCUUAGAUAUCACGAAGAACUCCGAUUGCGAAGGCAGUUCACUGGACUGCAACUGACACUGAGGCUCGAAAGUGUGGGUAUCAAACAGGAUUAGAUACCCGAGUAGUC